This is a non-coding RNA of Misgurnus anguillicaudatus (oriental weatherfish), 898 nucleotides long. NCBI's taxonomy places the organism in Eukaryota, Metazoa, Chordata, Actinopteri, Cypriniformes, Cobitidae. The record is from RefSeq and is a predicted model, not a curated record.
UUGUAACGGGAUGUUCAACCAAAACCGGGAAAGGACAAGCAGUAAGUUUUCAUCAUUUGCCGCGGUGUAAACAAUGGCUGCGGGCUAUCAACCACGCAAAGUUCAGAGAAGACAACGAUGCAGUAAAAUUGAAAAACCUGAGGGUUUGCAGUCUCCAUUUCAAGCUGGAAGAUAUCGAACCCAAUGUACUCGGAAUGAAGCGAAACACGCUAAAGGACACUGCGAUUCCGUCUAUAUGUACCUUCACAGACACGACGAACAGCUGGGGCCAUCUGGCAUCAAAUGCAUUCGUCUACGUUAGAGGUUUCCGGAAGAAGAUGCAGAAGAAGGGGAAAAAAGAACAAUGAAAUCCUCCUUGCAUGGACCAGGUCUGACAUAAAUCAUAUGUGGUUUUCCUGUGCAACCAGUAAGGGGGACGUCGAGGAGAAGCAUGGUUGAACCAAAUGUUCUGCAAGAGAUCCAAGCAGUGGGUCUUGAAGAAAAGCUUCAUACCACACACCACACAGUUUGUAGACUAACUCAUCCAGAAGGCCAUUGAUAAGACUCAAUCCAAACAUUGUGUUCAAAGUACCAACGUCCUCACUUGCCCUGCCACAGCCUGCGCUGCCACCCAACAUUGCACCAGUGCCUAAACCAUCAAGGGAGGCUGCCACGACUUCUUUCAAAAGUCGCUUCUGAGACUGACACUUUCUAAUAAUAAUAAUAAUCACCUCUUCCCUGAGUCCUAUUGCUGUAUCUAAUCAGAUUCUGCCGCCACUCUUUAUAUUUAUAUUAUUAUAUACUGUGUGUAUAUAUACACAAUGUUUUUGUAUAUAUUUUUGCUUUGUUUUUAUUUUGUGCAGGACAUUUUUAGAUGUAAAUUAUGUCAUUGUUUAUUUUAAUGUGUUCUUUUCACUGG